UCAGAGAGAGUAGAACUGUUUUGGACUUUAUGUUGUAGAAAGAGAUUAAAUAUUUUUGCUCGGAUUAUUUGUUGUUUGAAAUGUCAAUUUGGUUAAACAAUAACUUUUUAACGUCAUUUGUAAUAAACUUUUAACUUUAAAUGUGUGUGUAUAUAUUAGUAUUGUUAGAAUUACCAACUUUGUAACGAGUCAUUUUUACAUUUUUAACCUUUCUAUUCAGAGACUUUUAACAUGCACGAGGUGUUUGUAUUUAACAAUCUUUUAACAAUCUUUUAAACAUUUGUAACUCUUUACACGUAUAUUAAUUUUGUGUUUUUAUGUUCUAGAGAAGUUUCUCGAACAGAAGUUUUGGGAAGGAUAUUUUGACAAUUUUUUGUCGUUAGUUCAAAUUUUUUACUGAGAAUGUAGUAAGUUGGGAAUGUUUGAUGAAAAGUUAGUGAAUCCCAUUUUUAGGAACCAGUCUAUCCUUUCUUUUCUUUUCUCUUAGUCUGGUAACUGAACUUUGGUUGUAUUUGCUAAAUUUUCAACAAUUUUGGGAGAAAGAUAGAUUAGUUAGCGAAUUUAGACGUGUGUACCAGCUUUAGCGCUCCUUUUCUUUGUGUUGUAGCGCACGGUCACAUUUGUCAGUUGAUUUGCUAAAUUUUCUAUUACAUGGUGUAGAGAUAAUAAGGAUUAAUAGAUACAAUUUAAAGUACAUUUUGUACGUGACAUGUGUAAUAAAAUUACCGCUAACAGAAUAUUUCAGAUUCCUACUUCUAAAAGUCUAACAUUUCAGUUUCAAACUUACUUUUCAGAAAGACGAUCCUUUUCUUCUCAAAGACAUGAAAGUGUUUACCUGAUAUUACUUUAUUAACUUGCAUCUUCUGUAGGAAGUGUUAACAGGGGAUGUUUGGUAUUUUCUGUUGGGAUGAGUUAGGAGCAGCUUGCUCAGCGUGAGUUUUUUGGUUUUAUAAGAAUGCUGUCGUUUCGAUCAACAUGCUAUUACAUGUUCUUCGCUGAUCCCGAGCCUUUAGGGACUCAGUUUGAACCUGUUUUUAAACGACAGAAUUCAUGUAUUUUACGUUUUAGAACUGUUUAGUACAGUGGUGUGUGUCAAUGAUUUGUUAGUGACUCAUUAUUGACUCUCUAGAGGUUGUGUUUAAAGCUUGAAUAGCUCCUAAUAUUUAGUUUUAGUACGCAGUUUUUCUGUCAUUACGAUAACUCGAUACAGAAAUCUCUAAAGAUCACACUUGAUUACAGUGUUGGACGGGUAUUUUUUGUUGCACCUGUCAGUCUUAGAACGAUGUUUCAAUUCCGUUCAUAGAAAAGAGAUUUUCGUAUUAAGAACUUUGAUAGUUAAUUAGCUAAUAGUUAGACUGUAUUAAUUCUAUCGGACGUUUUGUACAAGUAUUAUAUCUCUCAGAUCUCACGCUCAGCGUGGAAGGCAGUCAUUUUAGCCACUAGCCUGUUUUACAGCGGAUGUUUUUCCCGCGUUAACAGAGAUUUAAUCCACUUGUACCACGUGACUCGCCGAAUAUGGAAUAAUCGUUAACUGCUUUUUUAGUUAUCUGCUUUUAUGACAGUGGACAUGACACGUAUUAGAUUUGCCUUUGUCUGAGCCGAGCAUUUGUAGCUCAAACUCAUAGAAAGUAUGUUUAGCGCGCACGACACGUUUUUGUGCAGCGUGCGGGACUAGAAUAUUUUUAACUUAACAUUUUUUCUAGAGUUUAUCUCCUAAUUUAACUCGGAUAGUCGGAUAUCUAUUUUUUAACAAAGAAAGUAUAGGGAGCUAUGACUUUAAGAUUGUAAAAGUCAUGAGUUAAAUUAUUAGUAAGUACUUUUUCUUUUUUAAAGUAGGGGGAAUGUUAGAAUCUUAAUUCUAUUUGUAGCUUGUUUUUGUACUUACAUAUUACUAACCCUGUAUCUCACUUUAGCAAAGGUUUAGUUCCAGUGAUUGUAUAUACAGUGUUGGGGUAAAGGGACUCCAGAAGGCAGACAAGGCUCGACUCCAGACUCUAGUUGAAGUAACAGAAGAGAGAGGAGUGUCCAGUGUUUAGUUGACUCCAGACUCUAGCGUAGCAGAAGGGAGAGGAGUGACGUUGUCGACUCCAGACUCUAGCGUAGCAGAAGGGAGAGGAGUGACGUUGUUUUAGUGAUCCCACAGAUUCCAGUCGACAGAUACUAUCUGUGUUCUGUGACGUGGAAAGAGUGGGUUUUGUUUUAUAGUUAUCAGUUCCAGUUUUACUUGAAGUCCUCAUCAUUCAGAAGUCCCUCAUAUAGUAAGAAGAACAUCAUCAUCAGGAGUAGUAGUUUUAAUUUAAUAGUAGUUUAAUCUAAUAGUAAAAAAGACAUUGUUUAGUUUAGUAUUGAAAUGUGUUUUAACUAUUAGUCAGAGCAGAGUAGUGUGAGUUACUGAGUCACACCAUAUCAAUCAUUCACUAUUUAAGAGAGUACAUUGUAGAGUAACAAGGUUACUUUUGACACAAGAUUUGUAUAACC
This is a long non-coding RNA of Bolinopsis microptera, 2478 nucleotides long. RefSeq lists it as uncharacterized. NCBI's taxonomy places the organism in Eukaryota, Metazoa, Ctenophora, Tentaculata, Lobata, Bolinopsidae. The record is from RefSeq and is a predicted model, not a curated record. The transcript has 2 exons.